CCAAAGCUCCGUGGCGGUGCUGAACUUUAGGGCAGCCACUAGCCACGGACUUAAGCGGCAAUUGAGCUCCUCAAAGUGGGUAGGGAGUCAUAACCACUGCCCACUCACAUCCAGCCAGCACAUCGCAGUUUCCGAAGUACCAAACACAUUCCACUCCACCUCCCUUCUGCAGGAAAGGGUCCUGAAGCUCUCUAAGAUGGCUUUGACAUGGGUCCACAAAUUCUUUGACAUUCCUUUCUUCAAGAGGUGGAGCCUAAUUCCCCUCCCUUUGAGUGUGGACUGAACUUAGUGACUCAUUUCUAAUGAAUAGAACAAAGCAGAAGCAACAGUGUAAGGCUUCCAAGACCGGGUCAUAAGAGGCACUGUUUGUGGCUUCCUCCUUGCCCUCUCUUCUGUCUCACUGUGGGGAAAGCCAACUGCCAUAUCAUGAGAAAACUCAAGCAGCAGCUCUAGGGUUAGCCCUACAUGGUGAGGAACUGAGACCUCCUACCCACAGCCAUGUGCAUGAGCAGUAUUGGAAUGGAUCCUCCAGCCCCAGUCAAGCCUUCAGAUGACUGCAGCCCUAGCCGACAACUUGACUGCAACCUCAUGAGCGACCCUGAGACAAGAACAGCCCAGCUUAGCCCCUCUCAAAUUUCUGACCCACAGAACCUAAGAGAUAAUGAAUAUUUGUCAUUUUAAGCUGCAAAUUUUGGAUAAUUUGUCACACAACAAUAGAUAACCAAUACACUGUCUUUGG
RNAcentral lists this long non-coding RNA (739 nucleotides) under Homo sapiens (human). RNAcentral's name for it is "HSALNT0266459". The record is from RNAcentral. Lineage: Eukaryota; Metazoa; Chordata; Mammalia; Primates; Hominidae.